GGGCCCAUAGAUCAGCCCGGAAGAUCGCCUGCUUUGCAAGCAGGAGGCCGCGGGUUCAAAUCCCGCUGGGUCCA
RNAcentral lists this transfer RNA (74 nucleotides) under Thermoplasmata archaeon. Its description in RNAcentral is "tRNA-Ala". It matches the Rfam family "tRNA". From Rfam's summary of the family: Transfer RNA (tRNA) molecules are approximately 80 nucleotides in length. Their secondary structure includes four short double-helical elements and three loops (D, anti-codon, and T loops). Further hydrogen bonds mediate the characteristic L-shaped molecular structure. tRNAs have two regions of fundamental functional importance: the anti-codon, which is responsible for specific mRNA codon recognition, and the 3' end, to which the tRNAs corresponding amino acid is attached (by aminoacyl-tRNA synthetases). tRNAs cope with the degeneracy of the genetic code in two manners: having more than one tRNA (with a specific anti-codon) for a particular amino acid; and 'wobble' base-pairing, i.e. permitting non-standard base-pairing at the 3rd anti-codon position. RNAcentral also lists the same sequence under 6 other names. The record is from RNAcentral. Lineage: Archaea; Methanobacteriati; Thermoplasmatota; Thermoplasmata.